This 251-nucleotide ribosomal RNA is filed under the name uncultured bacterium. RNAcentral's name for it is "partial 16S ribosomal RNA". It matches the Rfam family "Bacterial small subunit ribosomal RNA", at positions 524 to 776 of the family's 1533-position model. The record is from RNAcentral.
GACGGGGGGGGCAAGUGUUCUUCGGAAUGACUGGGCGUAAAGGGCACGUAGGCGGUGAAUCGGGUUGAAAGUGAAAGUCGCCAAAAAGUGGCGGAAUGCUCUCGAAACCAAUUCACUUGAGUGAGACAGAGGAGAGUGGAAUUUCGUGUGUAGGGGUGAAAUCCGUAAAUAUACGAAGGAACGCCAAAAGCGAAGGCAGCUCUCUGGGUCCCUACCGACGCUGGGGUGCGAAAGCGUGGGGAGCGAACAGG